GAUGAACGCUGGCGGCGUGCCUAAUACAUGCAAGUCGAGCGAACAGACGAGGAGCUUGCUCCUCUGACGUUAGCGGCGGACGGGUGAGUAACACGUGGAUAACCUACCUAUAAGACUGGGAUAACUUCGGGAAACCGGAGCUAAUACCGGAUAAUAUAUUGAACCGCAUGAUUCAAUAGUGAAAGACGGUUUUGCUGUCACUUAUAGAUGGAUCCGCGCCGCAUUAGCUAGUUGGUAAGGUAACGGCUUACCAAGGCAACGAUGCGUAGCCGACCUGAGAGGGUGAUCGGCCACCCUGGAACUGAGACACGGUCCAGACUCCUACGGGAGGCAGCAGUAGGGAAUCUUCCGCAAUGGGCGAAAGCCUGACGGAGCAACGCCGCGUGAGUGAUGAAGGUCUUAGGAUCGUAAAACUCUGUUAUUAGGGAAGAACAAAUGUGUAAGUAACUAUGCACGUCUUGACGGUACCUAAUCAGAAAGCCACGGCUAACUACGUG
Molecule: ribosomal RNA, 497 nt
Filed under: uncultured bacterium
Lineage: Bacteria
Description: partial 16S ribosomal RNA
Rfam family: Bacterial small subunit ribosomal RNA
Source: RNAcentral